UUGCACGCUGGCGGCAGGCCUAACACAUGCAAGUCGAGCGGAUGAAGGGAGCUUGCUCCUGGAUUCAGCGGCGGACGGGUGAGUAAUGCCUAGGAAUCUGCCUGGUAGUGGGGGAUAACGUCCGGAAACGGGCGCUAAUACCGCAUACGUCCUGAGGGAGAAAGUGGGGGAUCUUCGGACCUCACGCUAUCAGAUGAGCCUAGGUCGGAUUAGCUAGUUGGUGGGGUAAAGGCCUACCAAGGCGACGAUCCGUAACUGGUCUGAGAGGAUGAUCAGUCACACUGGAACUGAGACACGGUCCAGACUCCUACGGGAGGCAGCAGUGGGGAAUAUUGGACAAUGGGCGAAAGCCUGAUCCAGCCAUGCCGCGUGUGUGAAGAAGGUCUUCGGAUUGUAAAGCACUUUAAGUUGGGAGGAAGGGCAGUAAGUUAAUACCUUGCUGCUUUGACGUUACCAACAGAAUAAGCACCGGCUAACUUCGUG
RNAcentral lists this ribosomal RNA (483 nucleotides) under uncultured bacterium. RNAcentral describes it as "partial 16S ribosomal RNA". It matches the Rfam family "Bacterial small subunit ribosomal RNA", at positions 30 to 507 of the family's 1533-position model. The record is from RNAcentral.